This 1549-nucleotide ribosomal RNA is filed under the name Escherichia coli. RNAcentral's name for it is "partial 23S ribosomal RNA". It matches the Rfam family "Bacterial large subunit ribosomal RNA", at positions 1410 to 2925 of the family's 2925-position model. The record is from RNAcentral. Lineage: Bacteria; Pseudomonadati; Pseudomonadota; Gammaproteobacteria; Enterobacterales; Enterobacteriaceae.
CGUAGUCGAUGGGAAACAGGUUAAUAUUCCUGUACUUGGUGUUACUGCGAAGGGGGGACGGAGAAGGCUAUGUUGGCCGGGCGACGGUUGUCCCGGUUUAAGCGUGUAGGCUGGUUUUCCAGGCAAAUCCGGAAAACCAAGGCUGAGGCGUGAUGACGAGGCACUACGGUGCUGAAGCGACAAAUGCCCUGCUUCCAGGAAAAGCCUCUAAGCAUCAGGUAACAUCAAAUCGUACCCCAAACCGACACAGGUGGUCAGGUAGAGAAUACCAAGGCGCUUGAGAGAACUCGGGUGAAGGAACUAGGCAAAAUGGUGCCGUAACUUCGGGAGAAGGCACGCUGAUAUGUAGGUGAAGCGACUUGCUCGUGGAGCUGAAAUCAGUCGAAGAUACCAGCUGGCUGCAACUGUUUAUUAAAAACACAGCACUGUGCAAACACGAAAGUGGACGUAUACGGUGUGACGCCUGCCCGGUGCCGGAAGGUUAAUUGAUGGGGUUAGCGGCAACGCGAAGCUCUUGAUCGAAGCCCCGGUAAACGGCGGCCGUAACUAUAACGGUCCUAAGGUAGCGAAAUUCCUUGUCGGGUAAGUUCCGACCUGCACGAAUGGCGUAAUGAUGGCCAGGCUGUCUCCACCCGAGACUCAGUGAAAUUGAACUCGCUGUGAAGAUGCAGUGUACCCGCGGCAAGACGGAAAGACCCCGUGAACCUUUACUAUAGCUUGACACUGAACAUUGAGCCUUGAUGUGUAGGAUAGGUGGGAGGCUUUGAAGUGUGGACGCCAGUCUGCAUGGAGCCGACCUUGAAAUACCACCCUUUAAUGUUUGAUGUUCUAACGUUGGCCCCUAAUCGGGGUUGCGGACAGUGUCUGGUGGGUAGUUUGACUGGGGCGGUCUCCUCCUAAAGAGUAACGGAGGAGCACGAAGGUUGGCUAAUCCUGGUCGGACAUCAGGAGGUUAGUGCAAUGGCAUAAGCCAGCUUGACUGCGAGCGUGACGGCGCGAGCAGGUGCGAAAGCAGGUCAUAGUGAUCCGGUGGUUCUGAAUGGAAGGGCCAUCGCUCAACGGAUAAAAGGUACUCCGGGGAUAACAGGCUGAUACCGCCCAAGAGUUCAUAUCGACGGCGGUGUUUGGCACCUCGAUGUCGGCUCAUCACAUCCUGGGGCUGAAGUAGGUCCCAAGGGUAUGGCUGUUCGCCAUUUAAAGUGGUACGCGAGCUGGGUUUAGAACGUCGUGAGACAGUUCGGUCCCUAUCUGCCGUGGGCGCUGGAGAACUGAGGGGGGCUGCUCCUAGUACGAGAGGACCGGAGUGGACGCAUCACUGGUGUUCGGGUUGUCAUGCCAAUGGCACUGCCCGGUAGCUAAAUGCGGAAGAGAUAAGUGCUGAAAGCAUCUAAGCACGAAACUUGCCCCGAGAUGAGUUCUCCCUGAGACUUAGAGUCUCCUGAAGGAACGUUGAAGACGACGACGUUGAUAGGCCGGGUGUGUAAGUGCAGCGAUGCGUUGAGCUAACCGGUACUAAUGAACCGUGAGGCUUAACCUUACAACGCCGAAG